RNAcentral lists this ribosomal RNA (468 nucleotides) under uncultured bacterium. Its description in RNAcentral is "partial 16S ribosomal RNA". It matches the Rfam family "Bacterial small subunit ribosomal RNA", at positions 28 to 507 of the family's 1533-position model. The record is from RNAcentral.
GACGAACGCUGGCGGCGUGCUUAACACAUGCAAGUCGAACGGAAAGGCCCUGCUUUUGUGGGGUGCUCGAGUGGCGAACGCGUGAGUAACACGUGAGUAACCUGCCCUUGACUUUGGGAGAAAUUCAGGAAACUGGGGCGAAUACCGGAGAGGAGCUCCUGCUGCAUGGGGGGGGUUGGAAAGUUUCGGCGGUUGGGGAUGGACUCGCGGCUUAUCAGCUUGUUGGUGGGGUAGUGGCUUACCAAGGCUUUGACGGGUAGCCGGCCUGAGAGGGUGACCGGCCACAUUGGGACUGAGAUACGGCCCAGACUCCUACGGGAGGCAGCAGUGGGGAAUAUUGCACAAUGGGCGGAAGCCUGAUGCAGCAACGCCGCGUGCGGGAUGCCGGCCUUCGGGUUGUAAACCGCUUUCGCCUGUGACGAAGCGUGAGUGACGGUAAUGGGUAAAGAAGCACCGGCUAACUACGUG